GAUUGUCUUGUAAUUGGAAUGAACCAAAUUUAAUAUCCAUGAUAAGUACCAAUUGGAGGGCAAGUCUGGUGCCAGCAGCCGCGGUAAUUCCAGCUCCAAUAGCGUAUAUUAAAGUUGUUGCGGUUAAAAAGCUCGUAGUUGGAUUUCUGCUGAGGACGACCGGUCCGCCCUUCGGGUGAGUAUCUGGUUUGGUCUUGGCAUCUUCUUGGUGAACGUAUCUGCACUUGACUGUGUGGUGCGGUACCCAGGACUUUUACUUUGAGGAAAUUAGAGUGUUCACGGCAGGCAAACGCCUUGAAUACAUUAGCAUGGAAUAAUAAUAUAGGACCUUGGUCCCAUUUUGUUGGUUUCUGGAACUGAGGUAAUGAUUAAUAGGGAUAAUUGGGGGCAUUCGUAUUAACGUGUCAGAGGUGGAAUUCUUGGAUUACGUUACGACGAACUACUGCGAAAGCAUCUGCCAAGGAUGUUUUCAUUGAUCAAGAACGAAAGUUAGGGGAUCGAAGACGAUUAGAUACCGUCGUAGUCCUAACCAUAAACUAUGCCGACUGGGGAUUGGUAGAUGUACCAAACACGACUCUAUCAGCACCCUAUGAGAAAUCAAAGUCUUUGG
Molecule: ribosomal RNA, 610 nt
Filed under: uncultured dinoflagellate
Lineage: Eukaryota; Dinophyceae
Description: bacterial SSU rRNA
Rfam family: Eukaryotic small subunit ribosomal RNA
Source: RNAcentral